Sus scrofa (pig) is the source of this 3758-nucleotide long non-coding RNA. RefSeq lists it as uncharacterized. The record is from RefSeq and is a predicted model, not a curated record. Lineage: Eukaryota; Metazoa; Chordata; Mammalia; Artiodactyla; Suidae.
GACCUCCACCGCAGCUCACGGCAACGCCGGAUCCUUAACCCACUGAACAAGGUCGGGGAUCGAAUCUGUGUCCUCAUGAAUGCUAGUCAGAUUCGUUUCUGCUGAGCCAUGACAGGAACUCCAUAGGGAAAGGUUUUUAAUGACAGGGUGAAGGAGAGGGUUGCAGGAUGUGUGAUCAGCUCAUGGACAUUUUUCCUUUAAAAUUUUUUUAAAUUAAAUGUUAUUGUAGUUGAUUUGCAAUGUUGUGUUAAUUUCUGCUUUUCAGCAAAGUGACUCAGUUGUAGACUUACUCUAUAUGUAUACUUAAUCUUUUCCAUUAUGGUUUAUCACAAGAUAAUGAAUACAGUUUCCUGUGCUAUGCAUCCAAUAUAUAAUAGUUUGCCUUUGCUAAUCCCAAACUCCCUCCCAAUCCACUCCCACCCCAAACUCAUGGACAUUCUUCUGAUUGGUUGGUAGCGAGGUCAUUGGAAGUCAGCAUCAUCAACUUUCUGGUUCCAACUAAUCUGGGGUCUAUGAACUUGUGGGCAGCAUACAAAGUUCUUCCUGGUAAGGGUUUCAGAAUCUGCAAAACAGCUGAAAGAAUUUGGCUUAGGAUAUUAUCCACAGUCCUUAAGGAGGAACUGAAAGUCCUUGACUGUGUUUAAUGACUAAAAUAUCAUUAUUUUGUCUUACUUGACUGUUUUCCUUUGUUUUCUGCAUUUUCUCACUUAUCUGAUUUAAUUUAUUCUUUGAAACUUGGGGAAGGCCUAGGAGGCUAAAGUUUUUCUAUAAACACAAGGCAGGUGGGGGAUGGGGGCGGGGUUGGGGGAGGUGUCUGUCCCAGGAAUGUGCCAUGGCAUCCUGCUCAACUACAAAGUGACAAUACUGAAAUUUUUUUUCAGUCACUUAUAUGUAAAUAAUAAAACCUAAACUUUUUCUGCCUAAUACAAAAUAAUAUGACUGAUGCAAAUGCCAGUGACUUCAGUCAUGGUAGAGCUUUUCUUGCUAGACUGUUACAAGUAUCUACAGGGCUGUUGCUAAUAUAAACUCAGACUUGUCCCACAAAGCCCUUGUAUGAUUGUCUAUUUAGUGCUGUGAUAUUUCUCAGCAAAAUCUAAUAUUUGAGCUGAAAUUUCUACCACUUGACUAGAAAGACUAAAAUAGUUCUACCCCCUGUUAAACUUUCUCCUGCUGUGUAAUAACCCUUGCUCCCUACAGUUACUACUCAAAACUCUAGUCUCGGAAUCAGUAAAACCUGUUAUUUUCCUUAGUUUAUUAUGUUUCAGAGGAAGGCAGGACUGCUUUGGGGAGUUAUUUCCAUUAUGUGUGAAUGAAGAUCACAUGGUUUCUAAAUUCUAGAGCAAGACCCUGAAAAUGCACAGGGAUUACCUCUUGGAGCUCCAGCAUCAACCUACUCGCCAUUGGAUCGAGCUGUAACCCAGAGCUGUGCCAUGGGCUAUGAUGUAGUGUUUAGGCUAGAUGACAUGGUUUGCUCAAGAACACAGUUUUACUUGAUGGUGAUAUUUUUUCUGAUUGUUUUUUAACCCAGCAGUUGUGACUCUUGGAGCAAAAGCAGCGGCCUUACCUGACCAGGGAAUUCAGUGCACACUCUCGGCUGCCUGAUUCAGGUUCCCAAACAACAAGCCAUGCAGGCCCUGGCUACUUUCCUGCUGCUGUGCCAGGGCAGGGAAGUUGGUUGAAUCCAUGAAUGUGGAACCCACAGAUACAGAAGACUGACUGUAUAUGCAGAUCGUCUAAACUGGAACACUUGAGAGAAUAAACAGGGGCACUAUUGAUAAUUAUGCCAGGACAAUGGAUAUAAAUUGGUUCUUCCAGCUGUGGACUUGCUUUGUUCCUCCUGCCUCCUGGAUAAACAGUAAGCUGCCAAUCCUAGAAUCACCCCUGCUUCCUGACAACAUCCAAACCAGAGCAUAGCCCCACUUCCUUGAACCAUCUGCAGAAUCACCAAACACAGGCCUAAGCUCCUUUUCACACUGGCUUAUGGAGGGUAUGCAGUCUCUCUCAUUGCACCUCGUCUGUGAACCCACAGCUGACUCUAGGUGUGUUCUGGUGAUUUUGAUUCAAAGGCACUAUCAAGAGGCUGGCUCUGAGGUAGACCAUGUGGUGGCGAUCCAUGUGGAAGCCUAGGAGUUUUUACCCUGCCAUUCACUUUCUCUGUUGUAGAGAAAGCCAUUUACAUAUUUGGAUCUUCAGUACUUAAAGGCUGACAAGAAUUUCUUCAUUGCCUGAAAGAACAUGGCAUGUGAGGGCCUUUCAGAGAUUGAUCUGACUGGGGCAGAGUAUUUCUUUCUAAAGCACUGGAGGGUGAGGGCACCCAUGAGGAAAUGUUUGAGUUCCAGGCAAUCGAUGUUGAGGAGAGAAUGUGGGUCGGUCCUAGCUCUACUUCUUACCCAGUGUGUGAUGUGGAGCAGGUUUCUUAACCUCCUUGAGCUGCAGAGUCUGCAUCUGAGGAAUGAUGCAGACUCUGCAGCUAUAGUUAAUAGUACCCCAGUGAGCCUUACCUCACAGGCUUGAAUGCUUGAAAAGAGCAUGUAAAUCAUCCAGCACUCCUAGUACACAGGGGCUGUGGGGAAUCAGCAGAUGUGCCAUCUCUUCCUUCCCAGCCGACAGUGGACAGCCACUGUAGAUUCCUGAAAGGAAAGUGGCCCAAGGGCAAUAGGUGUUUUAGGGAAAUAGACCAAAACGGAGAGGGCAUAGGCCAGUCUAGUUGAUAAUGGGACACUCUAGCUUGCAUGGCCCCUGCCAACCACUGCAAAGAUAGCAUCACAUUCUCAAAAGAAGUGCAGUUGUCCCAGCUAGACAAGGGGGACAAAUGAAUGAUGAGGGCAUGCCAUGCAGGGUGUGCCAAGCAGCAAGCCUCAGUGGGACAGGGUGGAAGAAAUAUUAGGGACACUUUCAGAAAGGCAGCCAAACUCUGGGCUGCUGGGGACAGCAAGAGAAACAGAUCCCUUUGGAGUGCAGCAGUCAUUGGAAGAAUGCCCACAUCUAACCUUCAGGUCCAUGGGCCAUAACACCUUCCACUUUUGCAUUGUUGCCAGGGCUUUGCUGUCACACACAAAAGGGCUACUUCUAACAGGAAGGGUGACACUGAGCUCUAAAGGUCAGUUCCAGCCUUCUUCCUCAUUUAACUGUAGGGCGGUAACCAAAGCAGGCCAUUCUACUUUAGCCCAAGAGCAAUUGACUCCAAGGAGGAGAAAAUAGAUGACUGAUGUAAAGAGUUACAUUUUGCAACCACUCUCUUCACCAGUUCAACUUCUGGUAGUUUUUGAAUUUUGUAGUUAACAGUACCCCAGUGAGCCUUUAAGCUAGCACAUCCUUCCCUUAGCAAGGAGUUUUCGGAUUUAGAGCGUUUAUAUUUAAAAACAAUCAAAACAUCAGAAUGAUUUGUGAAUGACCUAAAAAAAAUCCAAUAUGUAUAUUAGCUGCAGAUGGUGUACAAGAGAACAAAGUUAAGUCAAUAGAAAGUUGCCCUGUGAUUUGAAUCAUCACAUCGACAUUUAUUGGGCACCUACUUUCUACAAGACUGGGCACUGAGGAAUUAAAAGAUGAACAAGUCAGUAUCUGCCUUCAUAGAAUUUGUCAUCUAGUGGAGAGGCUGAAAGUAUACCAACAAGUCUAAUGCAAGGGCAUAAGAAUGCACCCAAAUCACCAUGGUAACAAGAAGAUGAUUACAUUUACUAGAAAAAUCAAGGUUUUAAAAGAAGAAGAGGGUCUUGAGGACUUCUUUUUUUUUUUUUUUUUUUUUUUUUUUUUUUUGU